Molecule: long non-coding RNA, 326 nt
Organism: Bradysia coprophila
Lineage: Eukaryota; Metazoa; Arthropoda; Insecta; Diptera; Sciaridae
Source: RefSeq, a predicted model, not a curated record
UUGCGUUCAAUCAAAAUGUAUCCAUCAGGCAUCAAUGUUGAACAUGAUGAUAACUACUGUAGUGAAACUUUCAUUUGCAACGAAUACAAUCAAUCUUGUGUCGACAAUCAAUGCCAAGAGUCAUUUUCGAGUAUCAGGACAAUGUAUUUGAUCUUUUUUUUUACAAUUUUAUCGGUGAUAUUUAUUUGGAUGCUGUUGAUUAGACGAUUGCUUGCCAUUUGGCUUGGUGUGGACAUGAGUAAUAGAAAUUGCUGCUUAAUUGAGACAUCGCGAAAAUUCGAAACAACUUAAAUUACUGGUUUACAAAUUCAGAUGAAUAAAACAUU